GAUGAAGAACGUAGCGAAAUGCGAUAAGUAAUGUGAAUUGCAGAAUUCAGUGAAUCAUCGAAUCUUUGAACGCACCUUGCACUCCUUGGUAUUCCGAGGAGUAUGCUUGUUUGAGAGUACUGUAAUCAUCAAUCCUCCUUUACUUUUGUGAAGUUGGCUUGGAUUUGGGGACUUGCUGGCCUUUCAUUAGAUCUGGCUUCCCUUGAAUGCAUUAGUUGAAUCGAGUUACAACGUUACGUGUAGUGUGAUAAUAUCUUCACUGCAUAGUUGUAAUGAAGUUUGGCUUCUAACAGUCCUUCAUUGGACAAUACUUUGAACAUUAUACCUCAAAUCAAGUAGGACUACCCGCUGAACUUAAGCAUAUCAAUAAGCGGAGGA
Molecule: unclassified non-coding RNA, 378 nt
Filed under: soil metagenome
Description: partial contains 5.8S ribosomal RNA, internal transcribed spacer 2, and large subunit ribosomal RNA
Rfam family: 5.8S ribosomal RNA (bases 1-120)
Source: RNAcentral